AGACCCGAAACCCGGUGAUCUAGCCAUGGGCAGGUUGAAGGUUGGGUAACACUAACUGGAGGACCGAACCGACUAAUGUUGAAAAAUUAGCGGAUGACCUGUGGCUGGGGGUGAAAGGCCAAUCAAACCGGGAGAUAGCUGGUUCUCCCCGAAAGCUAUUUAGGUAGCGCCUCGUGAAUUCAUCUCCGGGGGUAGAGCACUGUUUCGGCUAGGGGGCCAUCCCGGCUUACCAACCCGAUGCAAACUGCGAAUACCGGAGAAUGUUAUCACGGGAGACACACGGCGGGUGCUAACGUCCGUCGUGAAGAGGGAAACAACCCAGACCGCCAGCUAAGGUCCCAAAGUCAUGGUUAAGUGGGAAACGAUGUGGGAAGGCCCAGACAGCCAGGAUGUUGGCUUAGAAGCAGCCAUCAUUUAAAGAAAGCGUAAUAGCUCACUGGUCGAGUCGGCCUGCGCGGAAGAUGUAACGGGGCUAAACCAUGCACCGAAGCUGCGGCAGCGACGCUUAUGCGUUGUUGGGUAGGGGAGCGUUCUGUAAGCCUGCGAAGGUGGCCUGUGAGGGUUGCUGGAGGUAUCAGAAGUGCGAAUGCUGACAUAAGUAACGAUAAAGCGGGUGAAAAGCCCGCUCGCCGGAAGACCAAGGGUUCCUGUCCAACGUUAAUCGGGGCAGGGUGAGUCGACCCCUAAGGCGAGGCCGAAAGGCGUAGUCGAUGGGAAACGGGUUAAUAUUCCCGUACUUGGUGUUACUGCGAAGGGGGGACGGAGAAGGCUAUGUUGGCCGGGCGACGGUUGUCCCGGUUUAAGCGUGUAGGUGUGUGUUCCAGGUAAAUCCGGUUCACUUUAACACUGAGGCGUGACGACGAGGCACUACGGUGCUGAAGCAACAAAUGCCCUGCUUCCAGGAAAAGCCUCUAAGCAUCAGGUAACAUCAAAUCGUACCCCAAACCGACACAGGUGGUCAGGUAGAGAAUACCAAGGCGCUUGAGAGAACUCGGGUGAAGGAACUAGGCAAAAUGGUGCCGUAACUUCGGGAGAAGGCACGCUGACACGUAGGUGAAGUGAUUUACUCACGGAGCUGAAGUCAGUCGAAGAUACCAGCUGGCUGCAACUGUUUAUUAAAAACACAGCACUGUGCAAACACGAAAGUGGACGUAUACGGUGUGACGCCUGCCCGGUGCCGGAAGGUUAAUUGAUGGGGUCAGCGCAAGCGAAGCUCCUGAUCGAAGCCCCGGUAAACGGCGGCCGUAACUAUAACGGUCCUAAGGUAGCGAAAUUCCUUGUCGGGUAAGUUCCGACCUGCACGAAUGGCGUAAUGAUGGCCAGGCUGUCUCCACCCGAGACUCAGUGAAAUUGAACUCGCUGUGAAGAUGCAGUGUACCCGCGGCAAGACGGAAAGACCCCGUGAACCUUUACUAUAGCUUGACACUGAACAUUGAGCCUUGAUGUGUAGGAUAGGUGGGAGGCUUUGAAGUGUGGACGCCAGUCUGCAUGGAGCCGACCUUGAAAUACCACCCUUUAAUGUUUGAUGUUCUAAC
This 1535-nucleotide ribosomal RNA is filed under the name Salmonella enterica. RNAcentral's name for it is "partial 23S ribosomal RNA". It matches the Rfam family "Bacterial large subunit ribosomal RNA", at positions 711 to 2226 of the family's 2925-position model. The record is from RNAcentral. Lineage: Bacteria; Pseudomonadati; Pseudomonadota; Gammaproteobacteria; Enterobacterales; Enterobacteriaceae.